ACGAUGCGACUUAAAAAUAGUCGCUUCCUUUAAACAGGCAUAUGCUGCUGAGUUAUUUGCGCUUUCCUGCGGUUGAUAAACACAAAUUCGCCACAGUGUUCACAAAAAGAUACUAAAAAGUGCAUAAAUUGUUGCCAUGGCAAAAUUGGAAUGCCCCUUAUGCUGCAAGCCACACUUUAAUGACUUGGAAGCACUGAGGACUACAUUAGUAGCAGCUACAACCACGGAAAUCCAGUGCCCAGUGUGUCAUGAAACCCAGCGAGGAUUGGAUAAGUUUACUAUUCAUCUGUUUACACAUUUGGCAAACACGGAUGAAGAGAUUCAUGUACCAGAAACAAAACCAAACUUAAUUCAAGCUGCCACAGUACCGACAGUACCAAAUUUUGAAGCACCGAAAAUUUCUGAGGAAAUGCCAUGUCCUGAUAUUUCAACGCGUGAUGGUCCGUCGGUAGCUACGGUUGUUGCGGCUGGAAUAGAAGAGCAAAUUACCAAUGUUCAGAAUGUGCUAGCAAACGAGCAACGUACAAUUCGUUGUGAUAUUUGUAAUUUUACAUUUUCGGACGAGAAUAUCCUGGAUAUGCAUCUGAAGUUAUUGCAUCAGACUUUGGAGGAUAAACAAACUGGUCUAUACAGCUACCAUUGUCAUUUAUGCAGCAAAAAGUUUAAAAUGAAAGGAAGUCUUAUGGUGCAUCUACGUGUAGCUCAUUAUGGAUUUGGACAUAACAACAAAACUGAACUCGAUCUGGUAGCAAGUCUCAAUAAGUUCAAGAAAAAUGAAGCAGCCAAAAAUGACGAGCAGCCAAAAAAAUGGUCCUGUGAUGUUUGCCAAAAACUGUUUACCACGAAAUAUUUUUUAAAGAAACACAAACGUUUGCAUACAGGUGAAAUGCCGUAUUUUUGCGCACAAUGCAACAAAUAUUUCACUUUUCAACAAACCUACCGUAAACAUAUGUUGUACCAUUCUUCGGAAAAACCGCACGUGUGUCAAGAAUGCGGGCGCGCGUUUAAAGAACUCUCGACGCUACACAAUCACGAGAGGAUACAUUCAGGAGAGCGACCAUUUGCCUGCGAAUUUUGUGGAAAGUGUUUCAGACAGAGAGUUUCUUAUCUGGUACAUAAAAGGAUUCAUACUGGAGUUUUACCUUACAAAUGUACUGCUUGUGGCAAAUCAUAUCGGUAUAAAGUGAGCCAAAGAUCGCACAAGUGCACAGCAAUGCCACCGGGGGACGUUAUCAAAACUCCAACGCCAUCACCUGCUACAUCGUCUCCCACAACAGCAACAACUCAUGAAUCAGAUAGGGAUAACUUAAAUUUGAGUUUGAAUCAAGUUAAUAUAGUGUUCAAUACGGAUGGGCAAAUUAUUGGUCAGAAUUUUACUUUUGAUGGGCAAAAUUUAAUAACAUUUAAUAAUAGUUUUCCUAGUGGGUCACAUGACACUCAAGUAGUUGAUUGUAAAUCAAUUGUUGUUAAUGAGAAGGAAAAAGAAAAAGUUGGCGAAUUCUACUCAUUAAUAGGAACUGUUGGGAAUGAAGUUAGUAGUGAAGUUACAGCGCUGACGACACACACGUCUAAUAUGUCAAUUAGUUGUAACAAAAUGUUAAGUGCUACAAUGGAUACUCAAGAAGUAUCUACAAGCGAUAAGUUACAAACCAUAAAUGAAGAGUCUUUAAAACAAUUACUGUACGGCGCUGUAAAUCAAUAAAAUAUUUGGACAAAAGAAAAAAGAUAAAAACCUUGCUUCAAAGUUAAUAAAUUUUUAAAUGACUGUAUUAACUUAUUUUUUAAUUCUAGGAUGAAGUUCAUCAGGAUUAUCAAUCGGCUUUGAAACAACUUCAGGAACUCUGCAACAGUCAGAUUGAGUUGGAAACUGAAAGAAACGCUCUACAAGAGGAAACUCGGAAGAGUAUUCAUGAACAUGCUAAUAUACACACGGAAUUGACAAAUUUGAAACUGAUCAAUGAUAAACUGCGCACCAGUCAAAUCAAACCACUUGGCAUGUAUCAAGCUGCCGAAAAACAGUAUGCACCUGCUUCAAAAAACUACGAAGCAGUUAGAUUGAAAUUGAAAGAAAUGAGGCAAAAACACGACGAGUUAUUAACACAAAUUGUUGAAGAGGAUAAAAUAUUUCUGGAAAAGUAUAAAGAUUUUAUUGCUGAAAAGUCUUCCGAUAAUUUGGAAGCUAUGGUUAAAAAAGAACUAACACUUAAUCAAGAACUAAUCCGAACAAAGGAGGAAUUAAUAAAGAAGAAAAUUCCAUUGGAAAUGCACGUGAAGGAAUUGUCCGCGGAGUCUGAUUCUAUGAAUAUAGAUGAUAUGAUUCAUCCAAAAAUGUUGAAAAUGUUUAAUGAGGAUAAUUUGAGGAGCGAUAUUACAAAGAAUCGUCAAUCAAUAUUAGUAGUUCGAAAACAAAUGGCGUUUUUCAAAAAAUCAACUAAAAUUAACAAGCCAUAACAAAGAAAUUAAAUAUUUCAAUAUAAGUAUGUUAAUUGAUUUCCAGAAAAACAUUGCGGAAAUCUAUAUUAAUUUAUAAUUGUUAUUACUGAGAAUUAUUUAUGUUUUUCAUUUUGGCAAAGUACUUUCAGAAUUUUUUCAAUAAUUUGAUUUAAACAACUGUUAAAUCAGGAUUAUAUAUUAAUUGGUAGCAAAACAUGCUUUUUUGUUUGCAAUAUAAAUUUCUUUCGAUCCUU
This is an RNA transcript of Dalotia coriaria, 2687 nucleotides long. It is a transcript of the gene named tRNA-uridine aminocarboxypropyltransferase 1, with no coding region annotated. The transcript has 4 exons. The record is from RefSeq and is a predicted model, not a curated record. Lineage: Eukaryota; Metazoa; Arthropoda; Insecta; Coleoptera; Staphylinidae.